AGUGAACGCUGGCGGCAGGCCUAACACAUGCAAGUCGAGCGGCAGCGCGUCCGACCACCCUCGGGUGGUCGGAUGGCGGCGAGCGGCGGACGGGUGAGGAAUGCAUCGGAAUCUGCCUCGUUGUGGGGGAUAACGUAGGGAAACUUACGCUAAUACCGCAUACGACCUACGGGUGAAAGUGGGGGACCUUCGGGCCUCACGCGAUGAGAUGAGCCGAUGCCGGAUUAGCUAGUUGGCGGGGUAAAGGCCCACCAAGGCGACGAUCCGUAGCGGGUCUGAGAGGAUGAUCAGCCACACUGGAACUGAGACACGGUCCAGACUCCUACGGGAGGCAGCAGUAGGGAAUAUUGGACAAUGGGGGCAACCCUGAUCCAGCCAUGCCGCGUGAGUGAAGAAGGCCCUCGGGUUGUAAAGCUCUUUUGUCCGGAAAGAAAGCAAUCGGUUAAUACCCGGUUGUUCUGACGGUACCGGAAGAAUAAGCACCGGCUAACUUCGUGCCAGCAGCCGCGGU
This 511-nucleotide ribosomal RNA is filed under the name uncultured bacterium. RNAcentral describes it as "bacterial SSU rRNA". It matches the Rfam family "Bacterial small subunit ribosomal RNA", at positions 29 to 521 of the family's 1533-position model. The record is from RNAcentral.